CCGGAGCCCGGUGAAACCCCGGGUGGCUCUUCCGGCCGCCAAUCCGCCGGAUAACG
Molecule: non-coding RNA, 56 nt
Filed under: Acetobacteraceae bacterium AT-5844
Lineage: Bacteria; Pseudomonadati; Pseudomonadota; Alphaproteobacteria; Acetobacterales; Acetobacteraceae
Description: sul1 RNA
Rfam family: sul1 RNA
Source: Rfam by way of RNAcentral